This 396-nucleotide ribosomal RNA is filed under the name uncultured bacterium. RNAcentral describes it as "bacterial SSU rRNA". It matches the Rfam family "Bacterial small subunit ribosomal RNA", at positions 505 to 898 of the family's 1533-position model. The record is from RNAcentral.
GUGUCAGCAGCCGCGGUAAAACGUAGGGGACAAGCGUUAUCCGGAUUUACUGGGCGUAAAGCGCAUGUAGGUGGCUUGACAAGUUGGACGUGAAAGCUCCCGGCUUAACUGGGAGAGGUCGUUCAAAACUGGCAAGCUUGAGGAUGGAAGAGGAGAGCGGAAUUCCCGGUGUAGUGGUGGAAUGCGUAGAUAUCGGGAGGAACACCAGUGGCGAAAGCGGCUCUCUGGUUCAAACCUGACACUGAGAUGCGAAAGCGUGGGGAGCGAACGGGAUUAGAUACCCCGGUAGUCCACGCUGUAAACGAUGGAUACUAGGUGUAGGCGGUCAUUAACCCCGUCUGUGCCGAAGCCAACGCGUUAAGUAUCCCGCCUGGGGACUACGGCCGCAAGGUUAAA